AGAAGUGUAGCUUAAUGGCAGAGCAGCGGUCUUAUAAACCGUAACGACAGAUAAUCGGCUGGUGAGAGUUCGAAUCUCUCCACUUCUACCA
RNAcentral lists this transfer RNA (91 nucleotides) under Clostridia bacterium. RNAcentral's name for it is "tRNA-Ile". It matches the Rfam family "tRNA". From Rfam's summary of the family: Transfer RNA (tRNA) molecules are approximately 80 nucleotides in length. Their secondary structure includes four short double-helical elements and three loops (D, anti-codon, and T loops). The record is from RNAcentral. Lineage: Bacteria; Bacillati; Bacillota; Clostridia.